AUUGAACGCUGGCGGCAUGCCUUACACAUGCAAGUCGAACGGCAGCACGGGUGCUUGCACCUGGUGGCGAGUGGCGAACGGGUGAGUAAUACAUCGGAACAUGUCCUGUAGUGGGGGAUAGCCCGGCGAAAGCCGGAUUAAUACCGCAUACGAUCUACGGAUGAAAGCGGGGGCCCUUCGGUCCUCGCGCUAUAGGGUUGGCCGAUGGCUGAUUAGCUAGUUGGUGGGGUAAAGGCCUACCAAGGCGACGAUCAGUAACUGGUCUGAGAGGACGACCAGCCACACUGGGACUGAGACACGGCCCAGACUCCUAAGGGAGGCAGCAGUGGGGAAUUUUGGACAAUGGGCGAAAGCCUGAUCCAGCAAUGCCGCGUGUGUGAAGAAGGCCUUCGGGUUGUAAAGCACUUUUGUACGGAAAGAAAUCCCUGGGCCUAAUACGGUCGGGGGAUGACGGUACCGGAAGAAUAAGCACCGGCUAACUACGUG
This 486-nucleotide ribosomal RNA is filed under the name uncultured bacterium. RNAcentral's name for it is "partial 16S ribosomal RNA". It matches the Rfam family "Bacterial small subunit ribosomal RNA", at positions 30 to 507 of the family's 1533-position model. The record is from RNAcentral.